CUACGGGGUGCUGCAGUGGGGAAUAUUGCGCAAUGGGCAAGAGCCUGACGCAGCAACGCCGUGUGAGGGAUGAAGGCUUUCGGGUCGUAAACCUCUGUCAGAAGGGAAGAACGGGUAUUGGUCUAAUAGGCCUUUAUUUUGACGGUACCUUCAGAGGAAGCACCGGCUAACUCCGUGCCAGCAGCCGCGGUAAUACGGAGGGUGCAAGCGUUAUUCGGAAUUACUGGGCGUAAAGCGCACGUAGGCCGCUUUGUAAGUCAGGGGUGAAAUCCCACGGCUCAACCGUGGAACUGCCUUUGAAACUGCAGAGCUUGAAUCCUGGAGAGGGUGGCGGAAUUCCUGGUGUAGGAGUGAAAUCCGUAGAUAUCAGGAGGAACACCGGUGGCGAAGGCGGCCACCUGGACAGGUAUUGACGCUGAGGUGCGAAAGUGUGGGGAGCAAACAGGAUUAGAUACCCCGGUAGUC
RNAcentral lists this ribosomal RNA (465 nucleotides) under uncultured bacterium. RNAcentral describes it as "partial 16S ribosomal RNA". It matches the Rfam family "Bacterial small subunit ribosomal RNA", at positions 339 to 795 of the family's 1533-position model. The record is from RNAcentral.